GACAGAGGUGCCAAGCGUUAGGCGGAAUCACUGGGCUUAAAGCGCGUGUAGGUGGCGGCCUAAGUACCUUGUGAAAUCCUGCGGCUCAACCGCAGAACUGCUUGGUAUACUGGGUCUCUUGAGUCAUCCAGGGGCAACUGGAACAAGCGGUGGAGCGGUGAAAUGCGUAGAUAUCGCUUGGAACGCCAAAGGUGAAAGCAGGUUGCUGGGGAUGUUCUGACACUGAGACGCGAAAGCCAGGGGAGCGAACGGG
RNAcentral lists this ribosomal RNA (253 nucleotides) under uncultured bacterium. RNAcentral's name for it is "partial 16S ribosomal RNA". It matches the Rfam family "Bacterial small subunit ribosomal RNA", at positions 524 to 776 of the family's 1533-position model. The record is from RNAcentral.